RNAcentral lists this ribosomal RNA (283 nucleotides) under uncultured prokaryote. Its description in RNAcentral is "partial 16S ribosomal RNA". It matches the Rfam family "Bacterial small subunit ribosomal RNA", at positions 524 to 817 of the family's 1533-position model. The record is from RNAcentral.
UACGUAGGGGGCUAGCGUUAUCCGGAAUUACUGGGCGUAAAGGGUGCGUAGGUGGUUUCUUAAGUCAGAGGUGAAAGGCUACGGCUCAACCGUAGUAAGCCUUUGAAACUGGGAAACUUGAGUGCAGGAGAGGAGAGUGGAAUUCCUAGUGUAGCGGUGAAAUGCGUAGAUAUUAGGAGGAACACCAGUUGCGAAGGCGGCUCUCCGGACUGUAACUGACACUGAGGCACGAAAGCGUGGGGAGCAAACAGGAUUAGAUACCCGCGUAGUCCCUGAGCGGGCU